CGAAUUGGCAAGGAGCAUUGCAAAGUUAAUUUGCAAGAGUUGUUAAACCCAGACAAAAAACAAGAUUUUAUUAAGAGAACAACAUCAAAUUCAAAUUCAUUGGAGAUGGAUAAAAGUUGGAUCCAUCUUAACAGAGCAACGGUGGAAUAUGAGCAAAAAGCUAGGGAGUUUGUUAAGACAGCCAUGACGAAUCUUGGAUUUCCAACCAAGAUUCUUUGUCCAUGCAACAAAUGUCACAAUCUAAGACAUCAACUUUCAGACGAAGUUGUCGAACACUUAGUUUUUUGGGGCAUGGACCGAUCUUACAAAACAUGGUUUCAU
Molecule: long non-coding RNA, 321 nt
Organism: Humulus lupulus (European hop)
Lineage: Eukaryota; Viridiplantae; Streptophyta; Magnoliopsida; Rosales; Cannabaceae
Exons: 3
Source: RefSeq, a predicted model, not a curated record